Herpailurus yagouaroundi (jaguarundi) is the source of this 324-nucleotide long non-coding RNA. RefSeq lists it as uncharacterized. The record is from RefSeq and is a predicted model, not a curated record. Lineage: Eukaryota; Metazoa; Chordata; Mammalia; Carnivora; Felidae. The transcript has 2 exons.
CUUUUGGGACAAGGUAAGGAAAUACUAUACUGUGGGUUUUGGUUUUUGUUUGGGGGGGAGCACAAUGAUGUUACUUUAAAAAAUGAGGAUUCUGUCAAAUACGUUUAGAUAAUACUGGGUUAAACAAAGUGAAACAGGUUUCUUUAUGGCAAGACAUUCAGAGCCUUUACUAUUAUUAUAUGUGUAUCAUGACUGUCCAAAAGGGGGUUAAAGAAUCUGAAGCAUCUCCCAACUUAUCUGACCCAUGAAAUAGAGAAUCUUAUCAGGUUACUGUCCCACAGAACACAUAUUGGGAAGCCACCAACAUUGACUGAUAUAGGUUAA